CUCAGGAGUGUCCACAAUUCUCCCGCACGGGAUUUUGAGUGCAGGGAGCUGUUUGGCAGGAUCAGUUUGGUCCUGGAUGCAGACCAGAAUCGUGGGUACCGGCGGUUGCCUGUCCUAUAUCCUUCUGUCCAGAGGCACUGUGCAGUUUCCCCUGGACCAGGGAUGUGGGCUGAGGUGUGCAGAGGUGGCAGUCUAUCCUGGGGCCUCGAGAUGUCUGCCUGGUUAAUUAUUUCAAAGUUAGAUUCUGAGAGAAGCAGAAAUGUCCAAGCCGCUCUCUUGUGGCUUAAGGCUUGUGGAAUUGAAUGAUUUCUGAUACCCAUC
This 321-nucleotide long non-coding RNA is filed under the name Androctonus crassicauda. The record is from RNAcentral. Lineage: Eukaryota; Metazoa; Arthropoda; Arachnida; Scorpiones; Buthidae.